RNAcentral lists this ribosomal RNA (253 nucleotides) under uncultured bacterium. RNAcentral describes it as "partial 16S ribosomal RNA". It matches the Rfam family "Bacterial small subunit ribosomal RNA", at positions 524 to 776 of the family's 1533-position model. The record is from RNAcentral.
UACGUAGGGGGCUAGCGUUGUCCGGAUUUAUUGGGCGUAAAGAGCGUGUAGGCGGCCAGAUAGGUCUGCUGUGAAAACUCGAGGCUCAACCUCGAGAUGUCGGCGGAAACCAUUUGGCUAGAGUCCGGAAGAGGAAAGUGGAAUUCCUGGUGUAGCGGUGAAAUGCGCAGAUAUCGGGAAGAACACCCGUGGCGAAGGCGGUUCUCUGGGACGGUACUGACGCUGAGACGCGAAAGCGUGGGGAGCGAACAGG